This 476-nucleotide ribosomal RNA is filed under the name Candidatus Scalindua wagneri. Its description in RNAcentral is "bacterial SSU rRNA". It matches the Rfam family "Bacterial small subunit ribosomal RNA", at positions 365 to 832 of the family's 1533-position model. Lineage: Bacteria; Pseudomonadati; Planctomycetota; Candidatus Brocadiia; Candidatus Brocadiales; Candidatus Scalinduaceae. The record is from RNAcentral.
UUCGCAAUGCCCGAAAGGGUGACGAAGCGACGCCGCGUGAGCGAAGAAGGCCUUAGGGUUGUAAAGCUCUGUCGAGGGUUAUGAAAUGUAGGUGGGUUAAUACCCCGCUUAUUUGACAAAGGCCCCAAAGGAAGUCACGGCUAACUCUGUGCCAGCAGCCGCGGUAAUACAGAGGUGGCAAGCGUUGUUCGGUAUUAUUGGGCGUAAAGAGCACGUAGGUGGUUUUGUAAGUCAGGUGUGAAAGCCUUCUGUUCAAAGGAAGAACGGCAUCUGAAACUGCAGAUCUUAAGUGUAGGAGGGGAGAGUGGAACUUCUGGUGGAGCGGUGAAAUGCGUAGAUAUCAGAAGGAACGUCGGCGGCGAAAGCGACUCUCUGGCCUAUUACUGACACUGAGGUGCGAAAGUUAGGGGAGCAAACGGGAUUAGAUACCCCGGUAGUCCUAACCGUAAACGAUGGGCACUAAGUAGAGGGGUUUU